CCUACGGGGGGCAGCAGUGGGGAAUAUUGGACAAUGGGGGGAACCCUGAUCCAGCCAUGCCGCGUGUGUGAAGAAGGCCCUCGGGUUGUAAAGCACUUUCAGUGAGGAAGAACGCCUGGUGGUUAAUACCCAUCAGGAAAGACAUCACUCACAGAAGAAGCACCGGCUAACUCCGUGCCAGCAGCCGCGGUAAUACGGAGGGUGCGAGCGUUAAUCGGAAUUACUGGGCGUAAAGCGCGCGUAGGUGGCUUGAUAAGCCGGUUGUGAAAGCCCCGGGCUCAACCUGGGAACGGCAUCCGGGACUGUCAAGAGAGAGGGCAGGAGCGGAAGGGAGAAGUCCCGGUGUAGCGGUGAAAUGCGUAGAGAUCGGGAGGAAUACCAGUGGCGAAGGCGGCCUUCUGGACUGACACUGACACUGAGGUGCGAAAGCGUGGGUAGCAAACAGGAUUAGAUACCCCAGUAGGC
This 465-nucleotide ribosomal RNA is filed under the name Vreelandella stevensii. RNAcentral's name for it is "partial 16S ribosomal RNA". It matches the Rfam family "Bacterial small subunit ribosomal RNA", at positions 338 to 795 of the family's 1533-position model. The record is from RNAcentral. Lineage: Bacteria; Pseudomonadati; Pseudomonadota; Gammaproteobacteria; Oceanospirillales; Halomonadaceae.